AAAUGGAAGGAAUCUGCUAGCAGUCCAUGAAGUAAUAGGACAUAAAUAUUCCACACCAGCCAGGAAGUACUCCAGCUUGUUAGCAUCAGGGUACUGCAGCAAUACGCCACACGCCAGUGUGUGGGAGCUUGAGGGGGUGGGAGCGUGCAAAGAUUAUGGGACCCUGCUAGCCGGACUAUACAUGUGGGAUGGCACUAAGUGGUCGAAUCACUUCAGUUUGGUAGCAUCAAGUUCCCUUCCUUCUUUCCCCCCAUUCCCCUAACAGGUUUUGAACUUGUAUUAUUUGUCAACUACAAAUCCAUUAUAAGAAGCUAUGGUAAAGAAAGGACGCAUAAAAGGCUGGCCGACCUGGGCAGAGGUCAGGCAUCCAGAGGUCACCCGGAGUUCACGGGGGAGCUCCUCCAUUGCCCUUUUUCUUUCAUUAACUGGAAAAAACCAGUGUCUUGAAAGGUCUCGAGGAGAGCAGACUUACAGCUGUGGUGUCCAUAGACGAUCCCCCCUCCUCCUUACCCUCCUCCUGACUCACACUGAGCCUGCAGGGAAGCUGAGCCUUGGGCUACACCUGGGGCCUGACCCCACUGGCAGUUCCACACCAGGACAGCUGCCCUGCAGUUAGAGACCUGGGGAGG
Molecule: long non-coding RNA, 629 nt
Filed under: Rattus norvegicus (Norway rat)
Lineage: Eukaryota; Metazoa; Chordata; Mammalia; Rodentia; Muridae
Description: long non-coding RNA NONRATT013968
Source: RNAcentral